GUUGAGAUGGCCGAGUUGGUCUAAGGGACCAUUAAAGUUCUGGUCCGAAAGGGCGUGGGUUCAAAUCCCACUCUCAACA
Molecule: transfer RNA, 79 nt
Filed under: Musa acuminata subsp. malaccensis (wild Malaysian banana)
Lineage: Eukaryota; Viridiplantae; Streptophyta; Magnoliopsida; Zingiberales; Musaceae
Rfam family: tRNA
About the family: Transfer RNA (tRNA) molecules are approximately 80 nucleotides in length. Their secondary structure includes four short double-helical elements and three loops (D, anti-codon, and T loops).
Source: Rfam by way of RNAcentral